CACCAGGUUGAUUCUGCCUGACGUAGAUGCUAGUCUCUAAGAUUAAGCCAUGCAUGUUUAUGUAAUAAGGACGAACAGCUCAGUAGAACUACGAUGAUUUAGUCUGUCUGAUAAAGAUAACUACGUGAAAAUGUAGCUAAGAGAGGACAGAAUAAGACGUAGGACUAUCAGUUAGUUGGUAGUGUAAUGGACUACCAAGACGAUGACGGGUAACGGGGAAUCAGGGUUUGAUACCGGAGAGGGAGCCUGAGAGAUAGCUCCCACGUCCAAGGACGGCAGCAGGCGCGAAAA
RNAcentral lists this ribosomal RNA (291 nucleotides) under Microsporidium sp. BLAT1 ALB. Its description in RNAcentral is "partial small subunit ribosomal RNA". It matches the Rfam family "Microsporidia small subunit ribosomal RNA", at positions 1 to 299 of the family's 1311-position model. Lineage: Eukaryota; Fungi; Microsporidia. The record is from RNAcentral.